This 306-nucleotide non-coding RNA is filed under the name Mycolicibacterium thermoresistibile ATCC 19527. RNAcentral's name for it is "Mycobacterium thermoresistibile ATCC 19527 Mycobacterium smegmatis small RNA 1". It matches the Rfam family "Mycobacterium smegmatis small RNA 1". Rfam says of the family: Mycobacterium smegmatis small RNA 1 is highly expressed during stationary phase of growth. Ms1 RNA directly interacts with RNA polymerase (RNAP), but in a different way than 6S, which is present in other bacteria. Lineage: Bacteria; Bacillati; Actinomycetota; Actinomycetes; Mycobacteriales; Mycobacteriaceae. The record is from Rfam by way of RNAcentral.
ACGGCGGCCCGGUGAGGCCAAGGUCGAGCCGGAAGAGAAGGCCCGACCCCCCGAACCGGGCUACCCAGCACGGGUCCCGGUACCCACGCGUAGCACGUGCCGCUAUGAAGGCAGAAGUGUUGCGGGCCUGCGUAAUUGCGGUAAGCGGGCGACGAGUCGGCCCUUUGGGUUGGGGCCGCAGACGCAGCGCAUCGCGAGGACGCCGAGGCCAACCCACGCAACCCACCUGAGCACGCCUGGUAACCGGCGCCCCGUGCUAGCGGGCGGCGAAUCGAGCCAGUUUCGAAGCGCCGCCCGCUUCGUGUG